AGUGAACGCUGGCGGUAGGCCUAACACAUGCAAGUCGAACGGCAGCACAGGAGAGCUUGCUCUCUGGGUGGCGAGUGGCGGACGGGUGAGGAAUACAUCGGAAUCUACUUUUUCGUGGGGGAUAACGUAGGGAAACUUACGCUAAUACCGCAUACGACCUACGGGUGAAAGCAGGGGCCCUUCGGGCCUUGCGCGAUUGAAUGAGCCGAUGUCGGAUUAGCUAGUUGGCGGGGUAAAGGACCACCAAGGCGACGAUCCGUAGCUGGUCUGAGAGGAUGAUCAGCCACACUGGAACUGAGACACGGUCCAGACUCCUACGGGAGGCAGCAGUGGGGAAUAUUGGACAAUGGGCGCAAGCCUGAUCCAGCCAUACCGCGUGGGUGAAGAAGGCCUUCGGGUUGUAAAGCCCUUUUGUUGGGAAAGAAAUCCAGCUGGCUAAUACCCGGUUGGGAUGACGGUACCCAAAGAAUAAGCACCGGCUAACUUCGUGCCAGCCGCCGCGGUAA
RNAcentral lists this ribosomal RNA (506 nucleotides) under uncultured bacterium. Its description in RNAcentral is "partial 16S ribosomal RNA". It matches the Rfam family "Bacterial small subunit ribosomal RNA", at positions 29 to 523 of the family's 1533-position model. The record is from RNAcentral.